AUUGAACGCUGGCGGCAAGCCUAACACAUGCAAGUCGAGCGGAUGAAGGGAGCUUGCUCCUGGAUUCAGCGGCGGACGGGUGAGUAAUGCCUAGGAAUCUGCCUGGUAGUGGGGGAUAACGUCCGGAAACGGGCGCUAAUACCGCAUACGUCCUGAGGGAGAAAGUGGGGGAUCUUCGGACCUCACGCUAUCAGAUGAGCCUAGGUCGGAUUAGCUAGUUGGUGGGGUAAAGGCCUACCAAGGCGACGAUCCGUAACUGGUCUGAGAGGAUGAUCAGUCACACUGGAACUGAGACACGGUCCAGACUCCUACGGGAGGCAGCAGUGGGGAAUAUUGGACAAUGGGCGAAAGCCUGAUCCAGCCAUGCCGCGUGUGUGAAGAAGGUCUUCGGAUUGUAAAGCACUUUAAGUUGGGAGGAAGGGCAGUAAGUUAAUACCUUGCUGUUUUGACGUUACCAACAGAAUAAGCACCGGCCAACUUCGUG
RNAcentral lists this ribosomal RNA (484 nucleotides) under uncultured bacterium. Its description in RNAcentral is "partial 16S ribosomal RNA". It matches the Rfam family "Bacterial small subunit ribosomal RNA", at positions 30 to 507 of the family's 1533-position model. The record is from RNAcentral.